CUCUUCUCUUCUGUCAUCUUCUCCUCUCUUCCUUCUCCUUGCUCCAAAGAGGACUUGCUUUCUUCGCGUGAAAGUCCACCGAGAGGAGUGUCAUGCCAGUUAAAGAAAGAAAGAAAAGAAAGAAAA
RNAcentral lists this non-coding RNA (126 nucleotides) under Chromera velia. The record is from RNAcentral. Lineage: Eukaryota; Chromeraceae.